GCCAUCAUACGUCCAACCGUG
This 21-nucleotide microRNA is filed under the name Triticum aestivum (bread wheat). Its description in RNAcentral is "tae-miR9666b-5p". Lineage: Eukaryota; Viridiplantae; Streptophyta; Magnoliopsida; Poales; Poaceae. The record is from miRBase by way of RNAcentral.